GGGGAUUUAGCUCAAUGGUAGAGCACUUGCCUAGGAAGCGCAAGGCCCUGGGUUCGGUCCCCAGCUCCA
RNAcentral lists this transfer RNA (69 nucleotides) under Rattus norvegicus (Norway rat). It matches the Rfam family "tRNA". Rfam says of the family: Transfer RNA (tRNA) molecules are approximately 80 nucleotides in length. Their secondary structure includes four short double-helical elements and three loops (D, anti-codon, and T loops). Lineage: Eukaryota; Metazoa; Chordata; Mammalia; Rodentia; Muridae. The record is from Rfam by way of RNAcentral.